RNAcentral lists this ribosomal RNA (218 nucleotides) under Salmonella enterica subsp. salamae serovar Sofia. Its description in RNAcentral is "partial 16S ribosomal RNA". It matches the Rfam family "Bacterial small subunit ribosomal RNA", at positions 230 to 447 of the family's 1533-position model. The record is from RNAcentral. Lineage: Bacteria; Pseudomonadati; Pseudomonadota; Gammaproteobacteria; Enterobacterales; Enterobacteriaceae. RNAcentral also lists the same sequence under 2 other names.
CCCAGAUGGGAUUAGCUUGUUGGUGAGGUAACGGCUCACCAAGGCGACGAUCCCUAGCUGGUCUGAGAGGAUGACCAGCCACACUGGAACUGAGACACGGUCCAGACUCCUACGGGAGGCAGCAGUGGGGAAUAUUGCACAAUGGGCGCAAGCCUGAUGCAGCCAUGCCGCGUGUAUGAAGAAGGCCUUCGGGUUGUAAAGUACUUUCAGCGGGGAGG